UACGUAGGUGGCAAGCGUUUGUCCGGAUUUAUUGGGUUUAAAGGGUGCGUAGGCGGUCUUUUAAGCCAGAUGUGAAAUCCCCGGGCUUAACCUGGGAAUGGCAUUUGGGACUGCAAGGCUUGAGUGCGGCAGAGGAGACUGGAAUUCCUGGUGUAGCAGUGAAAUGCGUAGAUAUCAGGAGGAACACCGAUGGCGAAGGCAGGUCUCUGGGCUGACACUGACGCUCAUGCACGAAAGCGUGGGGAGCAAACAGG
Molecule: ribosomal RNA, 254 nt
Filed under: uncultured bacterium
Lineage: Bacteria
Description: partial 16S ribosomal RNA
Rfam family: Bacterial small subunit ribosomal RNA
Source: RNAcentral